This 757-nucleotide ribosomal RNA is filed under the name Apilactobacillus kunkeei. Its description in RNAcentral is "bacterial SSU rRNA". It matches the Rfam family "Bacterial small subunit ribosomal RNA", at positions 668 to 1425 of the family's 1533-position model. The record is from RNAcentral. Lineage: Bacteria; Bacillati; Bacillota; Bacilli; Lactobacillales; Lactobacillaceae.
UCCAUGUGUAGCGGUGAAAUGNGUAGAUAUAUGGAAGAACACCAGUGGCGAAGGCGGCUUUCUGGUCUGUUACUGACGCUGAGGCUCGAAAGCAUGGGUAGCGAACAGGAUUAGAUACCCUGGUAGUCCAUGCCGUAAACGAUGAAUACUAGGUGUUGGAGGGUUUCCGCCCUUCAGUGCCGCAGCUAACGCAUUAAGUAUUCCGCCUGGGGAGUACGACCGCAAGGUUGAAACUCAAAGGAAUUGACGGGGGCCCGCACAAGUGGUGGAGCAUGUGGUUUAAUUCGAUGCUACGCGAAGAACCUUACCAGCUCUUGACAUCUUCUGCCAACCCAAGAGAUUGGGCGUUCCCUUCGGGGACAGAAUGACAGGUGGUGCAUGGUUGUCGUCAGCUCGUGUCGUGAGAUGUUGGGUUAAGUCCCGCAACGAGCGCAACCCUUAUUAUUAGUUGCCAGCAUUUAGUUGGGCACUCUAGUGAGACUGCCGGUGAUAAACCGGAGGAAGGUGGGGACGACGUCAAAUCAUCAUGCCCCUUAUGAGCUGGGCUACACACGUGCUACAAUGGAUGGUACAACGAGUCGCGAAACCGCGAGGUCAAGCUAAUCUCUUAAAGCCAUUCUCAGUUCGGAUUGCAGGCUGCAACUCGCCUGCAUGAAGUUGGAAUCACUAGUAAUCGUGGAUCAGCAUGCCACGGUGAAUACGUUCCCGGGCCUUGUACACACCGCCCGUCACACCAUGAGAGUUUGUAACACCCAAA